RNAcentral lists this ribosomal RNA (118 nucleotides) under uncultured bacterium. RNAcentral's name for it is "partial 16S ribosomal RNA". It matches the Rfam family "Bacterial small subunit ribosomal RNA", at positions 1358 to 1482 of the family's 1533-position model. The record is from RNAcentral.
CGCGGUGAAUACGUUCCCGGACCUUGUACACACCCGCCCGUCAAGCCAUGGAAGUCAGGGGGACCUGAAGCCGGUAACCGCGAGGAGCCGGUCAAGGGUUAAACUGGUAACUGGGGCU